This is an RNA transcript of Daphnia pulicaria, 1691 nucleotides long. RefSeq lists it as uncharacterized. The record is from RefSeq and is a predicted model, not a curated record. NCBI's taxonomy places the organism in Eukaryota, Metazoa, Arthropoda, Branchiopoda, Diplostraca, Daphniidae. The transcript is spliced from 6 exons.
AAAGAUUUUUUUUUCGUUACGAGACUGUAUGGUUGCUAAAUGUAAAAUUUUUUCACGUUUAUUUACAGGAAAUCUAGCCUGUAAUUUCCUAUCUGUCAAAUCACCUUAUCAAUUAUCACGUGGCCUGAAACUGAUGUCGUUGCUUGUUACUUGUACCGGUUGUAUGUUAAUGUAUCAACCAAUGAAGAAACACUUGACGGCAAAACAUAGGAGCAUGAACUGCAGCCAGUUGGUGGAAGGUAGUCAGCUGUUGUAUUCAGUUUGUGAGGCCGAGGCAUCCCAAUGCAGAAACAAGAAAUGAUUCACAAAAAGGUGUGUAAAAUUGUGUCCACCAGAUGGCGGAGUGUGUUUUCGUGAGUGACGAAGCCGCCAUUUGCUGUUGACUGUUGAGACAGUGUACGGGAAUGUGCUGCUGCUGCUGAUUAAUGAGGAUGUUCUUCGCUUUUACAUUUUUAAAAAAUCUUUCUACGCCUUUCGACCAAGCUGAAUCGAAAGUGAAUAAUUCUAAAGCAAUUUUAGCUUUUUUCCACGUGAUUGCUGUCGUGUGAUGAAGAUGCGUCUCUGAGAGGAUCUCUACUAUACUGCAAGAUAAAAAUGUGAUGAAACCAGGAAAUUUGAAAUGUAUGAGAUGCAGCCAGUUGGCGGAAGUUGUGAAGAUGUUAGCUGUUGCAAUCAGUUUAUGACUGAGGCAUUCCAUGCAGAAACCAGAAAUGAUAAGCAUGGCGGAGAUCUUGCCUUUCUCAACGUGCGGUGCCGUGUCAACAAGAUGUCUCUUUGAUGAGGUUGCAGAACAGAAAUGUGAAGAAAACAGGAAAUCUGAAAUGGUAAUGAUUUACUUAUAAGAUAGAUCAAGUGGGUUAGCAUUUUGCUUAAACUUUUGUCUACGUGUGUGUGGUACCUAUGCUUUUCUUCUUGGUUUAGAAUUUACUUAAGUUUAUCAUUUGAUUUAGAUUAAAUUUGACUACUUCCUGCUUCUAAAUAAGACAGCUUUUAUGAAAAGAACAUAAGCUUGUGAAGAAUUGUAAAUUUUUUGAUCAAACAGAACAGAAAUUCCCUUCAUUCUUAAAAUAUUAAAAUGAAAUCUUAUUUAGUCAUGUUCUUGAUUUAUUUUUCUCUUGUUCAAUGUAAAUUUGAAGAAAAUCUUUGCCUUAAUUACUAAGCGUUUGAAACAUUUAUUAUACGAUUGUAAGCUAAAGAUAAAUAUCACUUGCAUUUUUUGUUUUGCUCUCUAAAUUUUAUUUUCUGGUAUCUUUAAUCACAGAGUUGAUGUUCAGACAAAUUGAAACUGGUCUAGAUCUACAUCACAGAGUUGAUGUUCAGACAAAUUGAAACUUGUCUAGAUUUACAUUCUAGAUUGAUUUUAUCUGAAUAUACAAGAAAGAGAAUAGAGGCAACAAUAUCAAAUGAUAAUAGACAAACUUUUGCAGAGAUCAAAUGAAAAAAUAUUUUUAUAGAUCAAAAGCUAGCAUAAAUCAAAGGAGUAGUCAAAACGUGUAGAUUUGAUGAAAAAUACAGGGGUUACAAACCAGUCGUCAAUAUUGAGAAGAGCUUGUUUCUUUGCAUAAAAAAAACCCCCGUGCAGUCACACAUUAUUAUAUAGGUACAUCAGUUGGCUGGGCGGGCAACAUAACAAAAGGACGGUGAAUUUAACAAAAAAAAAUAUCCCAACUGUUAAAAUCGUCACGUAACGU